GUGCUCACUCAGCAAAUGGGCUGGGACUUGAGUUGCUGCAUUUCCACCAAGUCCCCACAUGAGAGACGUGCUGCUGGGCUACAGACCCCACAGUGAGUAGCAAAGAAUUAGAAUACAUGAGAGAAGAAAGGUUACCCUCUCUCACGAUGCUGUUGGAGGGAAGAUGAUAGGAAAGGAAUGAAGAGGCGUCACAAGUGACCCUUACUGGGCUGUCAGAAGCAGUGCAGGCUCACUGUGUCUUCUGGGAAGGCUCCCUUCCUUGGCAUUGUCCAUUUGCAGUGGCAGGAACGAGCCCACAUGUGUGCCUGUGUACUGUCACGUCCUCCCGGCACAGAUCUCUUGGACUUCCCCAUGGCUUCUGUUCUCAGAAAGCCCAUGUGGCAGGAUGCUGGCUGCACAACUUCAGGGAGCAGGUCCAGCCAAAACUUGAAGCCAAUUUACCUUCUCCAUGCUGCAGAGUUGCGGUGGGCAUCCGAGUUGAGAUAGCCUUGAAGAAAUCUUCCUGAGACCCCAGAUCCAUCAUGCACCUUGUAUGGUUCCUUCGCAAUGUCUUUCCUCAUCUACCUGCCUUCCACUGAUGGACUGAGAUUAAGGUCUGCAAUCUGUAAUGCGAGGAAAUUAAACCUGCCACUGACUGUCAUAUCGAUUUACCAUCUGCUGUUCCAGGUGUUUGCUUGAUUUUUAAAGGCUGUGAAGUGAGCUCCCUUACAACUUGUCUGCAAAGGUAGAAGUCUUCUCAAAUGCUUUGCUUGAAUCUCCAAUGUGAUAUGCUUUUGAGACUUGUAAGGUAACUGUGAGCCAUGUGGAUAUGUCACAUGUGCCGACUACAGGUGUUUUAAAUGGGACAAGGUAGGACAGAGUUGUCACCAACCUAAAUGAAAUAAUAGUUAUAAUAUCUCAACAAGACAGUGAGAAGCACAGCAAAAUAUCCAAAGAAGCAUUUCAUUGAUCAAGAAAGAUCCCUGCCUCUUGUUACCUUUGCUGUCUUGUGCAUGCCAUGUUGUUUCUGCUCUGCCAUGCUGUUUGUCAUCACUGUCUUGGAGCCAGCUGAUUGUGGACUGAAACUUCCACAAACUUUAAGCCAAAUAAACCCCAUCCCCUCUAAUUUCAGGUGUUGGGUAUUUUGUCUCAGCAAUGAAAUAAAAGUAACUAACACAGAAAUUUGGUAACAGAGAAAUGGGGCUGUUGCUGUGACAUUACCUGGCCAUGUGGCUCAAAAGCCUUUGGAAUUGGCUUGUGGGGAAGGAGAAAAGUUAGGAAAGAUCUGGAGAUGCUGGCUACAGAAGCAGUGCUGGAAUGCCUUAGGCUGUUUUGUAUGGGAGAUUCUGGCCAGAGCUCAGAAGACCAGAAAGCCAGUAAAGACCAGGCUCAGGAGAUUUCUGCUGGGAAAAAGGACUCCAUUGGCUGUUGGACCCCAGAUGAUGUGUGUUAUGGCUUGGCAAAAAGUUUGUCUGCAUUUUGUUCAUGUCCAGAGACUUUGCCUGAGACUGAGAUUAGGCAUGGUGGACUAAUUAAUCUUGCAGAAGAAAUUUCAAGGCGGUCAAAUGUUGAGGCAGUGGCAUGGGGACUUUUAACCAGAUCUUUGGUGAGAAUCAAGAGCAAAAAGCCCAGAAGAAUGAUUAAACAUGUUUUGAGUUUGGCCAGAAAGGAAGCUCCAGUAAAGCUGUGGACUUCAAAGAGAGCAGAGAAGGUUUUGGUUGCUGAGAAGGAAGUGGAAAAUAGAAAAGAUGGCCUGUUUACAAAGACUUGGAAAAUAAUUAUGAUAUUUUUAUUAUUAUGGUGAUUGGUAAGUGAAUGUGUUAGUAUAGCUUCUGCUAUGGUUGUUUUGAGUCAGCCAUUAUUAGAAUUUAUUUUUGAUUUCUGUUCAUGGGGGGGGUAAUUAUAUUAUAGAGUGAAAUAUGAAAAAAAACUUGAGGUUAUACCUGGUGUAUGGAAAAUGCUUAGGGAUUGCUCAAGAUAUCACCUAAUAACAUACAGCAGGUGGUGUCAGCAUUUGUGUUGGAAAUCUAGAUUUGGGCAGAUGGAAAAUUGAAUCUUUAACCCCCAAGGUCAUAAUAGCAUAUCGUCACUUCAUUUGAUCCUCCUACUAAUUGAGCUUGUCAAAUACAGUACACUGCUGCCAUUUCCUGUUACUUCCAUUUUCAUAAUAAAAUUAAAUUGAAAUAGUUAAAAAAAAAAAAAAGAAAAGAUGGCCUGAGGACAUGACAGGAAGCAGCAGAACUCCACCCUUUGCAGCCUCAAAAUUGUAAAAGUGAAGGACUUUGCCUUGAGAAGUAAAUCCCAGAGUACCACGUUCAGAAUGGCAGUAGCCUAGGGAAGUUGUUCCAAAAUGGCAGCUUAGGGAAGUUGUUCCUCAAAAUUGGAUUCAGAGUGCUAAGCAAUCCAGGCAUUCAACCCCUACAGCCAAGAGAGAGGGAAGACUGGCUACUACUGCUCCAGCUGGCCACAGACCUUGGCAUCAUCCACAUGGCACUGGUUUUAGGUGCAUGCAGAAUGCAAGAGUUGUGGGGUCAGGGAGGCUUCCACCCAGAUUUCAGAAGAAGGCCUUGGAGGCCAGGCAGUGUGCCUCUGAGAAGCCAGUGUGUGAAGCUGUGAGUGUGAAGCAAAAGGUGCAGUGGAGACCCCAGAAGUAUGGAGAAGCCAGGAGUGUGGAUUGUCUGAGGAAAACUGCAAAGAGGGAGCAGAGCCAGCCCCAGAGAGAAACCACGGGAGCUACACCCACAGGAAAUGCCAUAGGGCAGAACCACCCAAGCCCUUUGAAGUUCACAACUUGCCAGAGAUUGCCGUGGAUGCUGGAAGUGAACUGUGGAAUGUAAUGUUUGGUCUGCUGGAUUUUGGACUUACUUUGGUCCUAUUCCUUUGUAUCCUCGUGUAUGUACCUUUCGGAAUGGUAAUAUCUGUCCUGUGCCAUUGAAUGUUGGAAGUGUUUGAGUUUCUUUUCUUUUGUACAGGGGUUUGCAGCCACAACUUAGCCUUAAAUCUCAGAGGAGACUUUCGACUUGGACUUUUCAGCAAUGCUGAAACUGUUAGGACUUUGGCAACUCUUAGAGUUGGACUAAAUGGGGAGUUUUUUACAUAAAGGGAUAUGCAUGAGUCUUUUGGGGGCCAGGAUGGAAUGUUUUGGUUUGUGUUUAGAUGUACUCCCCAAAGCCUCAAGCAGAUGAGGUAGGACUUUCUUUUUCAGAGGUAGUUGAAUCUGGAAUGUGUGAUGCUGGGGUUAAGGGCAUGUUGUUACUAAACCACUGCAUGUGAGUGAUUAGUUUGCAACUGCCCUAAUCCCAGUGGUCUGUAUGGAAUAAAAGAGGCAGAAACACUUGGUGAAGGUCUCUUGUUAUCUCUGCUGACUUGUGUGCACCAUGUUGUUUCUGCUCUGCCAUGCCUGUUUGUCAUCCCUGUCUUGGAGCCAGCUGAUUAGGGACUGAAACUUGAAUGAACUGUAAGCCAAAUAAACCCCUUCCCCUCUAAAAAAAAUAAAUAAAUAAAAAGAACUCUGAUCAAUAAAUAUUUGAUUAUCAUUUAUAUGUGUUAGUCUUAUGAAAAGCUAACUGGGGAAUAUUUUGUUAAUUAAGGUUUUAAAAAGGUCUCAGGUAGGGGCUGGGGAUUUAGCUCAGUGGUGCCACUGCCUACCUCACAAGUACAAGGUCCUGAGUUUGAUCCCCGCUACCAAAAAAAAAAAAGGUCUCAGGUAGCAUUUUGUUUGAGACUCUUAUCUAGGACAUGAGCUUGGAAUUCCAGAUUUAAAUACUACUCCAUUAUUUUGAUGCAAAAUUGAGAUAUAUCUAUACAUUUACAGUGGUACCUCAGUUCACAAACUUAAUUCAUUCCACAAUUCUGGAAAAGAUGAAUAUGUUCAUGUUUGUCACCCAAUGCAGAGUUUGAAGACAAAAUAAAUUUGCUGAAUGCUUCUGUUUGUGAACCAAAUUUUUUGCAAAUAAAAGUAUUCAUGAACCGAGGUACCAUUGUAUAUGUGUGUAUACAGUUAUAUACAGAAAAGUACACAUAGAAUAAGCAUACAGCUCAGUUAAUAUUCAUGAAG
Molecule: long non-coding RNA, 4036 nt
Organism: Heterocephalus glaber (naked mole-rat)
Lineage: Eukaryota; Metazoa; Chordata; Mammalia; Rodentia; Bathyergidae
Source: Ensembl